AUGACGACCGGCGCACGGGUGCGCACCGCGUAUGGAACCUGCCUUGUACAGGGGAAUAGCCCAGGGAAACUUGGAUUAAUGCCCCGUAGUACCGUGUCCCGGCAUCGGGAUACGGUUAAAGCCUUCGGGCGGUACAAGAUGGCCAUGCGUCCCAUUAGCUAGUUGGUAAGGUAACGGCUUACCAAGGCUACGAUGGGUAGGGGCCCUGAGAGGGGGAUCCCCCACACUGGUACUGAGACACGGACCAGACUCCUACGGGAGGCAGCAGUGAGGAAUAUUGGACAAUGGAGGGGACUCUGAUCCAGCCAUGCCGCGUGCAGGAAGAAUGCCCUAUGGGUAGUAAACUGCUUUUAUACGGGAAGAAAAAGAGCUACGUGUAGCUUACUGACGGUACCGUAAGAAUAAGGACCGGCUAACUCCGUGCCAGCAGCCGCGGUAAUACGGAGGGUCCGAGCGUUAUCCGGAAUUAUUGGGUUUAAAGGGUCCGUAGGCGGGCCGAUAAGUCAGGGGUGAAAGUCUGCCGCUCAACGGUAGAACUGCCUUUGAUACUGUCGGUCUUGAGUUAUAGUGAAGUUGCCGGAAUAUGUAGUGUAGCGGUGAAAUGCAUAGAUAUUACAUAGAACACCGAUUGCGAAGGCAGGUGACUAACUAUAUACUGACGCUGAUGGACGAAAGCGUGGGGAGCGAACAGGAUUAGAUACCCUGGUAGUCCACGCCGUAAACGAUGGAUACUAGCUGUCCGAGGCCUUGAGUCUUGGGCGGCCAAGCGAAAGUGAUAAGUAUCCCACCUGGGGAGUACGUUCGCAAGAAUGAAACUCAAAGGAAUUGACGGGGGCCCGCACAAGCGGUGGAGCAUGUGGGUUUAAUUCGAUGAUACGCGAGGAACCUUACCAGGGCUUAAAUGCAUAUUGACAGGUCUAGAGAUAGAUUUUCCUUCGGGCAAUUUGCAAGUGCUGCAUGGUUGUCGUCAGCUC
Molecule: ribosomal RNA, 974 nt
Filed under: Maribacter stanieri
Lineage: Bacteria; Pseudomonadati; Bacteroidota; Flavobacteriia; Flavobacteriales; Flavobacteriaceae
Description: bacterial SSU rRNA
Rfam family: Bacterial small subunit ribosomal RNA
Source: RNAcentral